RNAcentral lists this ribosomal RNA (254 nucleotides) under uncultured bacterium. RNAcentral's name for it is "partial 16S ribosomal RNA". It matches the Rfam family "Bacterial small subunit ribosomal RNA", at positions 524 to 776 of the family's 1533-position model. The record is from RNAcentral.
UACGAGUGCCCCAAGCGUUAUCCGGAAUUAUUGGGCGUAAAGAGCUCGUAGGUGGUUCGGUAAGUCGGGUGUUAAACCCCCAGGCUCAACCUGGGGACGCCACUCGAUACUGCUGUGACUAGAGUCCGGUAGGGGAGCGUGGAAUUCCUGGUGUAGCGGUGAAAUGCGCAGAUAUCAGGAGGAACACCAGCGGCGAAGGCGGCGCUCUGGGCCGGUACUGACACUGAGGAGCGAAAGCGUGGGUAGCAAACAGG